GAAGCCGGAAUUGCUAGUAAUGGCAGGUCAGCAUACUGCCGUGAAUACGUUCCCGGGCCUUGUACACACCGCCCGCCACACCAUGAGAGUUGGAGAUACCCGAAGCCUGUGAGCUAACAAACGAGGCAGCAGUCGAAGGUAGAAUCAAUGAUUGGGGUGAAGUCGUAACAAGGUAGC
RNAcentral lists this ribosomal RNA (177 nucleotides) under uncultured bacterium. RNAcentral describes it as "partial 16S ribosomal RNA". It matches the Rfam family "Bacterial small subunit ribosomal RNA", at positions 1322 to 1500 of the family's 1533-position model. The record is from RNAcentral.